This 497-nucleotide ribosomal RNA is filed under the name uncultured bacterium. RNAcentral's name for it is "partial 16S ribosomal RNA". It matches the Rfam family "Bacterial small subunit ribosomal RNA", at positions 28 to 507 of the family's 1533-position model. The record is from RNAcentral.
GAUGAACGCUGGCGGCGUGCCUAAUACAUGCAAGUCGAGCGAACAGACGAGGAGCUUGCUCCUCUGACGUUAGCGGCGGACGGGUGAGUAACACGUGGAUAACCUACCUAUAAGACUGGGAUAACUUCGGGAAACCGGAGCUAAUACCGGAUAAUCUAUUGAACCGCAUGGUUCAAUAGUGAAAGACGGUUUUGCUGUCACUUAUAGAUGGAUCCGCGACGCAUUAGCUAGUUGGUAAGGUAACGGCUUACCAAGGCAACGAUGCGUAGCCGACCUGAGAGGGUGAGCGGCCACACUGGAACUGAGACACGGCCCAGACUCCUACGGGAGGCAGCAGUAGAGAAUCUUCCGCAAGGGGCGAAAGCCUGACGGAGCAACGCCGCGUGAGUGAUGAAGGUCUUCGGAUCGUAAAACUCUGUUAUUAGGGAAGAACAAUUGUGUAAGUAACGAUGCACGUCUUGACGGUACCUAAUCAGAAAGCCACGGCUAACUACGUG